GACGAACGCUGGCGGCGUGCCUAAUACAUGCAAGUAGAACGCUGAAGGAGGAGCUUGCUUCUCUGGAUGAGUUGCGAACGGGUGAGUAACGCGUAGGUAACCUGCCUGGUAGCGGGGGAUAACUAUUGGAAACGAUAGCUAAUACCGCAUAAGAGUAGAUGUCGCAUGACAUUUGCUUAAAAGGUGCAAUUGCAUCACUACCAGAUGGACCUGCGUUGUAUUAGCUAGUUGGUGAGGUAACGGCUCACCAAGGCAACGAUACAUAGCCGACCUGAGAGGGUGAUCGGCCACACUGGGACUGAGACACGGCCCAGACUCCUACGGGAGGCAGCAGUAGGGAAUCUUCGGCAAUGGACGGAAGUCUGACCGAGCAACGCCGCGUGAGUGAAGAAGGGUUUCGGAUCGUAAAGCUCGGUUGUAAGAGAAGAACGAGUGUGAGAGUGGAAAGUUCACACUGUGACGGUAUCUUACCAGAAAGGGACGGCUAACUACGUG
Molecule: ribosomal RNA, 495 nt
Filed under: uncultured bacterium
Lineage: Bacteria
Description: partial 16S ribosomal RNA
Rfam family: Bacterial small subunit ribosomal RNA
Source: RNAcentral